GAUGAACGCUGGCGGCGUGCCUAAUACAUGCAAGUCGAGCGAACAGACGAGGAGCUUGCUCCUCUGACGUUAGCGGCGGACGGGUGAGUAACACGUGGAUAACCUACCUAUAAGACUGGGAUAACUUCGGGAAACCGGAGCUAAUACCGGAUAAUAUAUUGAACCGCAUGGUUCAAUAGUGAAAGACGGUUUUGCUGUCACUUAUAGAUGGAUCCGCGCCGCAUUAGCUAGUUGGUAAGGUAACGGCUUACCAAGGCAACGAUGCGUAACCGACCUGAGAGGUAGGCGCGACACAAGGAGAGAGAGAAGCGGACCAAAACCCAACGGAAGAGGCAAGAAGGUAAUUGUCGGCAUCGGGAGCAGUAUUAGCGACAACACGAGGAGUGAGUAAAGAAGGUUUUAGAAACGUAAAACUUUUUAUUGGAGGAAGAAAAAAUGGGUAAGAACCACUGACCGUCUAACGAUCACAAAAUAAAAAGGCCGGGGCAGCCUUGGGG
RNAcentral lists this ribosomal RNA (497 nucleotides) under uncultured bacterium. Its description in RNAcentral is "partial 16S ribosomal RNA". It matches the Rfam family "Bacterial small subunit ribosomal RNA", at positions 28 to 508 of the family's 1533-position model. The record is from RNAcentral.